Molecule: ribosomal RNA, 460 nt
Filed under: uncultured bacterium
Lineage: Bacteria
Description: partial 16S ribosomal RNA
Rfam family: Bacterial small subunit ribosomal RNA
Source: RNAcentral
CCUACGGGGGGCUGCAGUGAGGAAUAUUGGUCAAUGGACGCAAGUCUGAACCAGCCAUGCCGCGUGCAGGAUGACGGCUCUAUGAGUUGUAAACUGCUUUUGUACGAGGGUAAACCCCGAUACGUGUAUCGGGUUGAAAGUAUCGUACGAAUAAGGAUCGGCUAACUCCGUGCCAGCAGCCGCGGUAAUACGGAGGAUCCGAGCGUUAUCCGGAUUUAUUGGGUUUAAAGGGUGCGUAGGCGGUUUGAUAAGUUAGAGGUGAAAUGUCGGGGCUCAACCCCGAAACUGCCUCUAAUACUGUUAGACUAGAGAAUAGUUGCGGUAGGCGGAAUGUAUGGUGUAGCGGUGAAAUGCUUAGAGAUCAUACAGAACACCAAUUGCGAAGGCAGCUUACCAAACUAUAUCUGACGUUGAGGCACGAAAGUGUGGGUAGCAAACAGGAUUAGAUACCCCAGUAGUC